This 21-nucleotide ribosomal RNA is filed under the name Brachythecium rivulare. Its description in RNAcentral is "partial 18S ribosomal RNA". RNAcentral also lists the same sequence under 9 other names. Lineage: Eukaryota; Viridiplantae; Streptophyta; Bryopsida; Hypnales; Brachytheciaceae. The record is from RNAcentral.
CGGAAGGAUCAUUGCACACAC